Non-coding RNA from Mycena capillaripes, 92 nucleotides. Lineage: Eukaryota; Fungi; Basidiomycota; Agaricomycetes; Agaricales; Mycenaceae. The record is from the annotation of a GenBank genome assembly.
GUCUUCGUGGAGUACUGAACUUGCUCCCUACUGUUAGAAAGAUGGGAGGCUGACUUUAGGGAGAGUCGGUGGUUCGAGCCCACCCGAAGACA